Molecule: ribosomal RNA, 119 nt
Filed under: Helianthus annuus (common sunflower)
Lineage: Eukaryota; Viridiplantae; Streptophyta; Magnoliopsida; Asterales; Asteraceae
Source: RNAcentral
GAUUGCGAUCAUACCAGCACUAAUGCACCGGAUCCCAUCAGAACUCUGCAGUUAAGCGUGCUUGGGCGAGAGUAGUACUAGGAUGGGUGACCCCCUGGGAAGUCCUCGUGUUGCAACCC